UGAGGUGUAGCUUAGUGGUAGAGCACAUGCCUAGCAUGCGUAAAGCCCUGGGUUUAAUCCCCAGCACUGAAA
Molecule: transfer RNA, 72 nt
Filed under: Urocitellus parryii (Arctic ground squirrel)
Lineage: Eukaryota; Metazoa; Chordata; Mammalia; Rodentia; Sciuridae
Also listed under: 2 other names
Description: Spermophilus parryii (Arctic ground squirrel) tRNA
Rfam family: tRNA
About the family: Transfer RNA (tRNA) molecules are approximately 80 nucleotides in length. Their secondary structure includes four short double-helical elements and three loops (D, anti-codon, and T loops).
Source: Rfam by way of RNAcentral